GACGUAGGGCGCGAGCGUUGUCCGGAUUUAUUGGGCGUAAAGAGCUCGUAGGCGGCUUGUUGCGUCAGCUGUGAAAACCCGCAGCUCAACUGUGGGCUUGCAGCUGAUACGGGCAGGCUUGAGUUCGGUAGGGGAGACUGGAAUUCCUGGUGUAGCGGUGAAAUGCGCAGAUAUCAGGAAGAACACCGAUGGCGAAGGCAGGUCUCUGGGCCAUAACUGACGCUGAGAAGCGAAAGCAUGGGGAGCGAACAGG
This 253-nucleotide ribosomal RNA is filed under the name uncultured bacterium. RNAcentral describes it as "partial 16S ribosomal RNA". It matches the Rfam family "Bacterial small subunit ribosomal RNA", at positions 524 to 776 of the family's 1533-position model. The record is from RNAcentral.